GUGUGGAGCAUGUGGAAAAUAUAGGAAGUCAUUACUACCAUACAUUGAGACUCUGGAGAAAAAAUUUCUUGGACAAUCAGAGCAAAAUUCUUAGCAUGGGAUUCGAUGAGAAGUUCAUUAGGACAUGGGAAUACUACUUUGAUUACUGUGCAGCUGGAUUUAAAUCAUAUACGAUUGGGGAUUAUCAGGUUGCAUUCUCUCGUACUGGAAACACUGAGACAUUGGGGUAUCCAUACAAAGGUUUUCCAUCAGCAUACUCUCACUUGUCUUCCACAGAAGGCCAAUGAACCAAUCGACCAAACCAGUUGUGCAGCUCUUCUCUUUUUAUUUGUUAUUUAAGAAUUUGGUAACAGCAUCAAUAAAUUUGUUCAAUUGAAAAGUCUAAUCAAUAAAAAUUUCAUUAAUUA
This is a long non-coding RNA of Hevea brasiliensis (rubber tree), 407 nucleotides long. RefSeq lists it as uncharacterized. NCBI's taxonomy places the organism in Eukaryota, Viridiplantae, Streptophyta, Magnoliopsida, Malpighiales, Euphorbiaceae. The record is from RefSeq and is a predicted model, not a curated record. The transcript is spliced from 3 exons.